GCAGCGAUACUGACGUGCAAA
Molecule: non-coding RNA, 21 nt
Filed under: Arabidopsis thaliana (thale cress)
Lineage: Eukaryota; Viridiplantae; Streptophyta; Magnoliopsida; Brassicales; Brassicaceae
Source: RNAcentral